AGUGAACGCUGGCGGUAGGCCUAACACAUGCAAGUCGAACGGCAGCACAGUAAGAGCUUGCUCUUACGGGUGGCGAGUGGAGGACGGGUGAGGAAUACAUCGGAAUCUACUUUUUCGUGGGGGAUAACGUAGGGAAACUUACGCUAAUACCGCAUACGACCUACGGGUGAAAGCAGGGGAUCUUCGGACCUUGCGCGAUCGAAUGAGCCGAUGUCGGACUAGCUAGUUGGCGGGGUAAAGGCUCACCAAGGGGACGAUCCGUAGCUGGUCUGAGAGGAUGAUCAGCCACACUGGAACUGAGACACGGUCCAGACUCCUACGGGAGGCAGCAGUGGGGAAUAUUGGACAAUGGGCGCAAGCCUGAUCCAGCCAUACCGCGUGGGUGAAGAAGGCCUUCGGGUUGUAAAGCCCUUUUGUUGGGAAGGAAAAGCAGCAGGUUAAUACACCGCUGUUAUGACGGUACCCAAAGAAUAAACACCGGCUAACUUCGUG
Molecule: ribosomal RNA, 492 nt
Filed under: uncultured bacterium
Lineage: Bacteria
Description: partial 16S ribosomal RNA
Rfam family: Bacterial small subunit ribosomal RNA
Source: RNAcentral